GUUGCCAUAUUGAAAAACAUCCGUAUAUACAUAUAUCGCAAUACAUGUCUGUAUAUAUAUGUCGUGAAGUAAAAAAUGCAGAUACUUAGCGUGCAUCGAAAUACAGUACCACAAGGACGACCAUGCAUGGAAGAGCACGACGAUUAUUACAUGGACACACUUAAACAAGCCAGCAUUUUCCACGCAUGCUAGUACUACGUUUCAAGCAACAAGUGAUGCACGGGCACGUUUGGUUGGAUUGCUUGGGUAGGCUAUAGCUAAGCUAGCCCAGCUAGCUCAACUCAGCUUUGCCAGCCUUGCCUUGGGUGCCCGUUUGGUUAUUUGCUUUUGCUGGAGUAUAAAAAUAAAGGCGUAUGUUCCAGUACAAAACUACUCGUGCCAUACACUCCGCAAUGCAUUAACUCCUGCCAUAAGUCUCCGUAAUUAAAGUUCCACGUGGAUUAUUUUAGCGCCAUGUGAUUUUGCCAUCGAGAGCGAGCCAAAUUGGCUCUCCCUAAUGAGCAAGGAUUUCCUCGCCGAUCCAGGGGCGCUGAUAGGCGCCGGCGCACCGGCCGAACAGUUGGGCCGGUCAUCGCGCGAUCGUCCGAUUCAGCAUAUUUGACCCGUUCGAUCUGGGUCUCAUAACAGAAAAAAAAAGUUGCAUCGUGCUUUGCUUUCGAUCUCGGUUCCUCCUUCCUCGUGGGAAGGCAGCGCCGCCGCCGCGGCCUGCGGCAGGCGCUCGCGUCUCGCCGGUCCCCGCCCUUGCCGCCGAUCGCCGCCCCUCGCCGCCGGUUGCCGCCCCUCACCGUCGUCGUCGUCUCCUGUGUUUCUCGCCGACUCUGGAGCCAUGCAUGGAUGUAGCAAAAAGCUCCGCUGGUCGUAGCAAAACGCGAAGGCGGUUGCAACAAAAAAUGUCGGUUCCAGCAAAAAAACCUCAGCAGCAGAAAACCAUGGCUCGGAGCCAACAGCGGUAGUAGCAAAUCUUUGUGUUAGUUCCAACAAAACCAAAAACAGUGGAAACAAAAAUGCAAAAAUGGGGCCUUUGUGGAAGGAUGUUCUAGCAAAAUCAAAGACACCGAUGGUAGCAAAAAUUGAAACUGGUUGCAGCAAAUUAAAACACCAUUUGUAGAAGUAGCAAAUUUGGGCGUUCUUCCAGCAAAAAGCGAAUGCGACAGUUGUAGCAAAAAUUAAAGCUGGUUCCAGCAAAUCAAAACACCGGUUGUAGCAAAGUGCAAAAAAUGACGUCGGUGCUAGCAAACCAAAGUGCCGAUGGUAGCAAAAAUUAGUGCUGGUUCCAGCACCGCCAUGAGCCGGUUCCAGCAAUGGGCGUCGUUGAAGUCGAACCACCGGUGGGCUCUCCUGUCCACGGCGCCGAAGGCUUCUCCCGUCCACAACACCAGUCGAUGCCCCGUCGUAGCACCGGUGCUGAAGCUUCGCGGCAGUCGCCGUUGGAUGGUCGUCGCAGCCCCGCCCGCUUGUGGCAGCUCUGGCGGCUUGAGGUGGAAGGAGGGGGAGAGGUGGGGAGCGCCGAUGGUGAGGGAGGCGGAGGAAGGAGAGGGAGAGGUGGGCAGCACCGAUGGGGAGGGGAGGUGGAGGAAGGAGAAGGAGUGGUGGGUAGCCGCGGUGGGGAAUUGUGGCCAGAACGC
Molecule: ribosomal RNA, 1625 nt
Filed under: Triticum aestivum (bread wheat)
Lineage: Eukaryota; Viridiplantae; Streptophyta; Magnoliopsida; Poales; Poaceae
Description: partial small subunit ribosomal RNA
Source: RNAcentral